Molecule: long non-coding RNA, 460 nt
Organism: Carlito syrichta (Philippine tarsier)
Lineage: Eukaryota; Metazoa; Chordata; Mammalia; Primates; Tarsiidae
Exons: 4
Source: RefSeq, a predicted model, not a curated record
AGUCUCCCUCACGGAGGGGGCGUGGGAAAGUGCUCGUGAGGAACCCUGGGAAACUCGGUCCUCCGCCACCAUCUUGCUUUCUUUUAAGUCGGCUGUGACAGUGGAUCAGAGCAAUCUUGAGCCAUGAAGCUGCUAACCAGAGCCGGGUCUUUCUCGAGAUUUUAUUCCCUCAAAGUUGCCCCCAAAGUUAAAGCUACAGCUGCACCUACAGGAGCACCUCCUCAUCCUCAGGAUCUUGAGUUCACCAAACUACCAAAUGGUUUAGUGAUUGCUUCUUUGGAAAACUAUGCUCCUGCAUCAAGAAUUGGUUUAUUUGUUAAAGCAGGCAGUAGAUACUAGGACUCCAACAAUUUAGGAACCUCUCAUUUGCUGCGUCUUGCAUCCAGUUUGACUUCAAAAGGAGCUUCGUCUUUCAAGAUAACCCGUGGAAUUGAAGCAGUUGGUGGCAAAUUAAGGUUUG